GAAUAUUGGACAAUGGGCGCAAGCCUGAUCCAGCAAUACCGCGUGUGUGAAGAAGGCCUGAGGGUUGUAAAGCACUUUCAAUUGGGAGGAAAACCUGUCGGUUAAUACCCGGCAGCUUGACAUUACCUUUAGAAGAAGCACCGGCUAACUCCGUGCCAGCAGCCGCGGUAAUACGGAGGGUGCGAGCGUUAAUCGGAAUUACUGGGCGUAAAGCGUGCGUAGGCGGUUGUCUAAGUCAGAUGUGAAAGCCCCGGGCUUAACCUGGGAACUGCAUUUGAUACUGGAUGACUAGAGUUUAAUAGAGGAGAGUGGAAUUUCAGGUGUAGCGGUGAAAUGCGUAGAGAUCUGAAGGAACACCAGUGGCGAAGGCGACUCUCUGGAUUAAAACUGACGCUGAGGUACGAAAGCGUGGGUAGCAAACAG
RNAcentral lists this ribosomal RNA (423 nucleotides) under uncultured bacterium. RNAcentral describes it as "bacterial SSU rRNA". It matches the Rfam family "Bacterial small subunit ribosomal RNA", at positions 359 to 775 of the family's 1533-position model. The record is from RNAcentral.